RNAcentral lists this ribosomal RNA (808 nucleotides) under uncultured organism. RNAcentral describes it as "bacterial SSU rRNA". It matches the Rfam family "Bacterial small subunit ribosomal RNA", at positions 534 to 1336 of the family's 1533-position model. The record is from RNAcentral.
CCAAGCGUUAGGCGGAUUCACUGGGCUUAAAGGGUGCGUAGGCGGAUUGGCAAGCAUCUCGUGAAAUCCCUCGGCUCAACCGAGGAAUUGCGGGGUGAACUGCCUGUCUUGAGGAAGGCAGAGGCUGUCAGAACGUUCGGUGGAGCGGUGAAAUGCGUAGAUAUCGAACGGAACGCCGAAGGGGUAGCCAGGCAGCUGGGCCUUACCUGACGCUGAGGCACGAAAGCGUGGGGAUCAAACAGGAUUAGAUACCCUGGUAGUCCACGCCGUAAACGAUGUGCACUAGCUCGAUGCAGAUCUGACUCUGUGUCGGGCGCCGAGAAAUCAUUAAGUGCACCGCCUGGGGAGUACGGUCGCAAGGCUAAAGCUCAAAGGAAUUGACGGGGGCUCACACAAGCGGUGGAGCAUGUUGCUUAAUUCGAAGCAACGCGAAGAACCUUACCUGGGUUUGACAUGCACGGAUUAGUCAUUGGAAACAGUGAUGACGCUCUUCGAGUGGAACGUGCACAGGUGCUGCAUGGCUGUCGUCAGCUCGUGCUGUGAAGUGUCGGGUUAAGUCCCUUAACGAGCGCAACCCUUAUCGCUAGUUGCCAGCGCAUUAUGGCGGGGACUCUAGCGAGACUGCCGGUGUCAAACCGGAGGAAGGUGGGGAUGACGUCAAGUCCUCAUGGCCUUUAUGCCCAGGGUGGCAAACGUGCUACAAUGGCGUGUACAGAGCGACGCGAUACCGUGAGGUGGAGCAAAUCGCAAAAAGCACGCCCCAGUUCGGAUAGCAGUCUGCAACUCGACUGCUGAAGCCGGAAUCGCU